Molecule: long non-coding RNA, 337 nt
Organism: Sinocyclocheilus grahami
Lineage: Eukaryota; Metazoa; Chordata; Actinopteri; Cypriniformes; Cyprinidae
Exons: 3
Source: RefSeq, a predicted model, not a curated record
AACGAAUGAGACCAGAUGAUGGAGCUAAAAGUACAUCACCAACAAGGAAGGUGAACGAAAACUAUGCCAGAGGAAUUGUGCCUUUGUUCCCAUACCUCAGUGUCCCCUUCUUCAAAAAUGGCUAUGUGCAUUACUAUGAUGUUGGUAAGAGUGCCAACGGAUACUUGCUAUGGAGAAUCAAAACUAUACAGAGAGGCAUUUCUAACGAGGAAUAUAAUUUGAAGGUACAAAAUGAAAAGAGAAAUGUCAUUGUGCCACUUUUCACAGCAGUUUUGUAGCUACUGAGUUGCAUUAACUGUGACUAAGGAUUAAGUUCAUAUAGCAUUCUUUAAGCAGU